This 140-nucleotide ribosomal RNA is filed under the name uncultured eukaryote. RNAcentral describes it as "partial 18S ribosomal RNA". It matches the Rfam family "Eukaryotic small subunit ribosomal RNA", at positions 1299 to 1457 of the family's 1831-position model. The record is from RNAcentral.
UGGUGGAGUGAUUUGUCUGGUUAAUUCCGUUAACGAACGAGACCGCUGCCUGCUAAAUAGUUGGAUGAGUGUUUUGACACUGAUUGCAGCUUCUUAGAGGGACAUGGAUUAUUAAAAUCCAGGAAGAUAGCGGCAAUAAC